RNAcentral lists this long non-coding RNA (1067 nucleotides) under Equus caballus (horse). RNAcentral's name for it is "lncRNA (ENSECAG00000046661.1)". The record is from RNAcentral. Lineage: Eukaryota; Metazoa; Chordata; Mammalia; Perissodactyla; Equidae.
AGAUCCUGAAUUUCGGUUUAAUUUUAAUUUGUGGUUUCCCUGAACAAAAUUAUUGAUCAUCGUAAUGAUUCAAUCUUAGCUUUUUGCACGUUAACUGAAAGUUUACAAAAUUAAAAUUCUACAUUCUGAAUAUAUAAAAAUGAAACGUUGCUCUUCAGAUCAUCUUUUUCUUGGUCAAAUCAGAUAGAUUAAUAUUUUAAAAUUUUCACCUCACAAUGGGCUUCAUGGAAGGUUCCUCUUUAUCUGAUCAUUCCCUGAGUAUCUUUAUUUCUCAACAAUUUCGAAUGAGAAAGAGAAUGAAGGGCUGAAAGAUACCAACAGAAGGAAGAAGAGAAACAAAAAUGAAAUAAAUAAGAUAAAGAAGCUUGUAAGAAGAAGGAGGAGAUGAUUAAAAAAAUAGGCUAAAGAACAAGGGAGCCAUUUGCAGACUCAUCUUUGUAAACAGUCUGUGACAGCUGACCUCUUGGAAGUGGAUGUGGAGGCCCAAGGCUGGAGUUGAUUGGCAGGUCUGAUUUCGUCUUGGGAACAUCCCCCUGCAGUCGCUAUUUUUAAACAGCAGCUUGUUCCUAGUGGGACUAGUCAGAGUGACCUCAAAGAUGAUCUGACAAUCUCCUAGAUCCUUGGGAAGCAUCAUCUGGGAACCCAGAGGCUCCUUUCAGAAACUAUGAAAAAACAAGCAGAAGAUUUAAUGCUAGUGCUCAGCUUCAGCACCCACAAUACAAAGUCGAAUGGCAGUGUCUCCUGAGAUUCUCAGAUGCCAAGCAGACUUCAGGCUCAGUGUGUUCUACAGAUGAGAUCAACAUGAGCAGAAGGAAAACAAAUGGCGGAUGGAGAUCAUCUGUUGUCCGUAGGGAGCGCGUUGGCAGCAAUUCCCUUCGCUUUACUGCGGUUUUGACAGGCAUUCUGUGCUCUGACGGCGAUGCUAACGUGCUUUGGCAGUAGCUGCAAAAGCAGCUUCGGGUGAUGAAAUCUCCGUCUUUCUGUCAGGAAACUGCUUGUGAUGGCUCUUCUCACAACUGCAUUAUGUCUCAUGACAAACCUCUUUACUUCCCCAUAGACUGAGGCAU